GCUCAGAUUGAACGCUGGCGGCAGGCCUAACACAUGCAAGUCGAGCGGUAGCACAGAAGAGCUUGCUCUUUGGGUGACGAGCGGCGGACGGGUGAGUAAUGUCUGGGAAACUGCCUGAUGGAGGGGGAUAACUACUGGAAACGGUAGCUAAUACCGCAUAACCUCGCAAGAGCAAAGAGGGGGACCUUCGGGCCUCUCGCCAUCAGAUGUGCCCAGAUGGGAUUAGCUAGUAGGUGAGGUAAUGGCUCACCUAGGCGACGAUCCCUAGCUGGUCUGAGAGGAUGACCAGCCACACUGGAACUGAGACACGGUCCAGACUCCUACGGGAGGCAGCAGUGGGGAAUAUUGCACAAUGGGCGCAAGCCUGAUGCAGCCAUGCCGCGUGUGUGAAGAAGGCCUUCGGGUUGUAAAGCACUUUCAGCGGGGAGGAAGGCGGUAAGGUUAAUAACCUUAUUGAUUGACGUUACCCGCAGAAGAAGCACCGGCUAACUCCGUGCCAGCAGCCGCGGUAAUACGGAGGGUGCAAGCGUUAAUCGGAAUGACUGGGCGUAAAGCGCACGCAGGCGGUCUGUUAAGUUGGAUGUGAAAUCCCCGGGCUUAACCUGGGAACUGCAUUCAAAACUGACAGGCUAGAGUCUUGUAGAGGGGGGUAGAAUUCCAGGUGUAGCGGUGAAAUGCGUAGAGAUCUGGAGGAAUACCGGUGGCGAAGGCGGCCCCCUGGACAAAGACUGACGCUCAGGUGCGAAAGCGUGGGGAGCAAACAGGAUUAGAUACCCUGGUAGUCCACGCUGUAAACGAUGUCGAUUUGGAGGUUGUGCCCUUGAGGCGUGGCUUCCGGAGCUAACGCGUUAAAUCGACCGCCUGGGGAGUACGGCCGCAAGGUUAAAACUCAAAUGAAUUGACGGGGGCCCGCACAAGCGGUGGAGCAUGUGGUUUAAUUCGAUGCAACGCGAAGAACCUUACCUACUCUUGACAUCCAGAGAACUUAGCAGAGAUGCUUUGGUGCCUUCGGGAACUCUGAGACAGGUGCUGCAUGGCUGUCGUCAGCUCGUGUUGUGAAAUGUUGGGUUAAGUCCCGCAACGAGCGCAACCCUUAUCCUUUGUUGCCAGCGAUUCGGUCGGGAACUCAAAGGAGACUGCCGGUGAUAAACCGGAGGAAGGUGGGGAUGACGUCAAGUCAUCAUGGCCCUUUACGAGUAAGGGCUACACACGUGCUACAAUGGCGUAUACAAAGAGAAGCGACCUCGCGAGAGCAAGCGGACCUCAUAAAGUACGUCGGAAUCCGGAUUGGAGUCUGGAACUCGACUCCAUGAAGUCCGAAUCGCUAGUAAUCGUAGAAUCAGAAUGGCUACGGUGAAUACUUUCCCGGGCCUUGUUCAACACGCCCGUCUCACCAUGGGGAGUGGGGUGGAAAAGAAGUAGGUAGCUUACCUUCCGGAAGGGGGCUUCCCAC
This 1453-nucleotide ribosomal RNA is filed under the name Pectobacterium carotovorum subsp. carotovorum. RNAcentral's name for it is "16S ribosomal RNA". It matches the Rfam family "Bacterial small subunit ribosomal RNA". The record is from RNAcentral. Lineage: Bacteria; Pseudomonadati; Pseudomonadota; Gammaproteobacteria; Enterobacterales; Pectobacteriaceae.